Long non-coding RNA from Dermacentor silvarum, 4181 nucleotides. RefSeq lists it as uncharacterized. The transcript has 3 exons. Lineage: Eukaryota; Metazoa; Arthropoda; Arachnida; Ixodida; Ixodidae. The record is from RefSeq and is a predicted model, not a curated record.
CGGCUGGCCGGCUUUUAUCGUUAUGUCUUGAUUUCUACUCAAGAGUGGAGCAAGGCAAGUUGGUUCUUUAUUCUAUGGCAAGGCCCCAAGGAACAGAGAUUGACGCAUCGGGAGCGAAGAACAGAAGCGAUGGAUGGUUACGCUACGCUGCUUGACUCUCGGCAUGCUCGAAUUGGCAAAGUUCCGAAUUCGUCGCUGCGUGAUGUGCGCUUGUGUGCUCGUAAUGUGCCGUCAUAGCGCGGGGAUAUUUGCGCUGAAUGUGUUCCACUUGGUCUACAAAACUCUGCACGCAACGGCACCGAAGAAGUUGUCCUGUGUUCAGGUGCACGUAUGUGCUUGGAUACGCGAUAGCCUGCCCUCAACGGAUGUUCAACAGUCUGCACGCGCUCGUAACUUGCUCACGAGCUAAGCCCGUUGUAAUUUGUUUUUGUUUGUGUUUGCGUAGCGUAGGUGUUAAAAUGAUGUGUAGUAAGCCGGCGUCGCGAUCAGAAAUUUUUUUUCAAAAAGGCCAUUAAACGGCUUCUUAGGGUAAAAAGCGCGCGUACUUGGGAAAAAGUAUCACAUAUCAAUUGAGCUCAAUAUCUAUGGUAGCGCGGUCGGCUCGAUCGCGAUCGAAUUUUCCGUGUGACGAUUAUAACCUCUUGCUCACUUGCGUUAAAAACGUAGAAUAAAAGUGCAUUCAGUUGCGCACAUGAGAGCAUGCUGUAUCCGAUCAUCGAAACAAUCGAGCUAAUAGUAGUGGUUCACUACGUGCGAUGGUUACUUUUCUGCUUGCAUGCGCUUUUUUAAUGCUAUGCAGCUGUGACAAAAAAAAAAAAAUGUUAGCUCUGCUGUGUCUUUCUUUGAUGCAACUUAUUGCGGUGCAGCUUUGAGUGAUGCCUGCCCAGUCAAGGCAUUCGUGUCAGUAAGCUAGCCGUAAAUGUUGUAUCAGUUGCAAAAAAAGAAAAAAAAAUGACAUACCAGUGAGGCGAAUGCAAUCAUCAUAGACUAUUUUAUAAAUACUUGAGUUAAAUUGCUUAACGGGAGGGUCAAUGUGCAUGAAAACCAGAUGACUGUGUUGAUACUUAGCAGGACCAAGGUUACAUAACAUUACUAAUUCAUCAUUUUCUUUCACUGAAAGGCUACUUGCUGUUGCCCUGCUGAAGCUGAGAAGAGGUCUGCUGCCUGCCAAGUGCCCAUGUCUGUCAAGUUGUUGCAGUAUUGUUGCCCGCAAAGUGAGGGCAUUUUUUUCUCUUAGCUUUUUACUAGCUGGAUCACGACAUCUACUUAGCUGUGUAGGUGAGCACUGUUCGCGACAUUGAAGUGCUGGUGGACAAGCACCUCUUAAAUAUUACACGCCUGACGGAGUGCAGCUGUGGCAGUAUGCAAAGGUGUUGAUAUAUAAGCCAAAUUAGGUUCUUUCAGUUAAUAUAUUGGUGUCAUUGAAUUGUGGUCUAGCAAUAUAAAAUGCCAAAUGGGGAGAAAUAGCUUUAAUUUGCUCUUGGUAGGUUGUGCAAGCAAAUCAACUAAGCUGUUACACAUGAAAUGGGGCAUUUGUAGCUGCAUUCCGCAACACUCCAGCCCUGUAUAACUUGCGAGUUAGGUGCUACCACUAUAAUUUCUCUGUAACCCAUAAAGCGAGGUUCGGCAUUGUAGGAGGCUGGCGUGAACAGAGAUCUAUGUAAUGUGAAUUUUAAAUGUAAAAAUGAGGUGUUCCUGUUUGGGUGUCUGUAUAGACUUAUGCUUUAGUUCCAGUUUCGUAUAAGGCAUACUUGGAUGGGAAAAUUGAUUUCUUUUGGGCGUAUUGGCACAAAUGCGUGGGUAAUGCUUGUAUACAUAGACAUUACAUCGCGAUUGCUUAGCCAAGUGGUGUGCCUGCGUGCAAAAAUUUAGAAGGCUCAGAUUGAAGACUAUCAACGUCUGUCGUAAAAUUAACACCUUUUAUAGUUAGACAUGACAAUUACUGCAUGCCAUCAUAGUGUGAUUAUAUUUUUGCUGAAUGUGCUUCACUUUGUCUAUAAAGCCCUGCACACUCUGGCAUCAUGGAAAAUAUAAUGUGAAACAUGCCAUGCAACUUACCGAUGUGCACGAAUAUAACGCAGGUUAUUUUUUUCUAGAAUUUCUGGCCUUGGAAAUGCACGUCAUGUUAUAUUCUUGUUCGUGACAGGGCUGUAAUGCAGAUUCCUUUCUUUAUAUUUUCUGGCUUUUUAAACUGGCAAGCCAAACCACUGUGCAACAAUACUGUGAUUGCUACCACGUGUGGACUAUGUUCGAACGCACAUGAGCAAAAACAGCUUUGCCUUAUUCGAUUGUGUUGCGGGCACUUCUGUUUCCAAUUACCUUGGUGGCAUUGAAGUGCUAUCCACUUCCAUGCAUUAUUUUCUGUUUUGUUAUUGCAUAACGUCACAUUACAAUUGAAAUAUGUUUUUGUUCUUUCUCUGAGAGCCCCAUAGCUCUGAGGUCUUUCUCUGAGAGCCCCCACCCCUUUCCUUGUGUUGUAAUUGUGGUUGCAUCAAUUAUGUGCAAAGGAUGGUAUAGAUGACCAGUCCUCCAAAUUUCAUUUUAUCACAAAGUAAGGCACAAGUACCUAGAGAAUUCGGUAUAUUAGAAAACCAAAGUUGAACUGCCAAACACUACCAAGCAGCCUCAGAGUAGUUUGUCUCAAGUAGAUAGAUUUCAUUGGUCAUGUAGAGGUGCACAACAUACCUCUUUAUUACUUGCUGAACACGUAAGCUGUGAGAAAACUGAAUAUUUUCGUAGCUUGAGCUAUGUGCUAUCGACUAUUGUUUCUACUCUCUUCAGUUGUGUAAGAAUACCCAGCAUUUCUUUUUCUAACCCAUUUCACUUAUUACAGAAGGAUUACUGUAUGUGUGCAGCGAAAACGAAUCAUGUGGGCAAUGAUAAGCCAACAAUGUGUAAACUUGGAACAUUCAUUGUGCAGUUUGAUGGCUCAGAAUAAGUAGAAAUACACCAUAAACACUUUUAACUUUUGCUUGACACAAGGCUACAGCAUACACUAACUGUACUUGCCUGCUGUAGCCCUGUGCCAAGUAAAUUUCAAUUGCAAUUUAGCUUUCCAGUGUAUGCUUCUGUUCUUACAUCCUGUUGGAGGGCUGGUAACAUGUUUCACAUUUCUAGCAACCACUUAGCCCCUCUUGUGAAGGUGGUAAAAAUGUACCAACUAUAUUUUUUAACCGAUUUGCUAGAAUGUGUAGGCAGUUCGCUUGGAAAACUAAAGCAAUAGAACCAGCGCAGUGAUGUGACUUUCUGUUCGCGUGUCAUAGGUUAAGAAAAGCAAGGUGGGAGCUGUUGCCAGUGUUCUGACUAGAAAGUGAAACCAGUAUAAACGGGUUACACACCACUGAUCUCUACUAUAGGGGGCUGGAUAGCGCAUUGAGCGCCCUCGACUGAAGCCAACCUGUUCCCGGAAGUUGGCUCUUUAUGACUUUGCAGUGGCACUACACCUGCAUGGGAGGGCACUGCCAAAGCAGGCCAGAGAAGUGUUUUGAGACGUCCAGAAUUUUCCAUCACAGGUGCCAACAACAUUGCUAACAUAAGUGCUGAAAACACUGGUGAAUCGCAUACGGGUACAGAUACGGGUAAGAGCUCUUACCAGACAUGUAGAGACAUCUCCUGAAAUGCAAAAAAAAAAAAGCUCGAAGAAAAAAACUGCAAUAUUAUGUUACUGCAUGCACUAUUACAUGCAGCAAACACCAUGCUUCAGGGACAAGCCGCUGCAUGACACCACAUUUCCACUGCCUUCACCUGCGCCUGCCUGGCUUGGCAAGCCGCGAAGCGGCAUCCAGCAAAACAUAGAAGAGAUCAGUGCAUGUGGAGACGAGAUUUCUUAAACAUGGCCAUGGCCCUCAAGAAAGUAGCCGAGACCAGAGCCUGCGGAUGUUCAUUCCUGUUCUGGCAAAGAUAGGCCAGCCUUAACCAGCUGGGUUUUCCAAAGCGAACUCAUCGCAGCUUGAGUCGCCCCAUGUCACAAGCAGUUGUUCCUACAGGGACCGUGAAAAGGUUUUCUGGAGCACAAGUCUAACUCGGUGCCACCACCCUUCUACUGCAGUUUGUUUACCUACUCUGCUAACCAGCAGCAAGUUUAUCCUUGCAAGGCAUGUGGGAUCAAGAACAACUUUCACCAGGAAAGAGUGCAAGACAAGUGGUUGAACAAAAUAAAGUUGUUUCUAUGUUCUAAAGAA